GACGAACGCUGGCGGCGUGCCUAACACAUGCAAGUCGAGCGAGGAGAUUCCCUUCGGGGAUGAACCUAGCGGCGGACGGGUGAGUAACACGUGGGCAACCUGCCUUGUAGAGGGGAAUAGCCUUCCGAAAGGAAGAUUAAUACCGCAUAACAUUGCUUUAUCGCAUGGUGAAGCAAUCAAAGGAGCAAUCCGCUACAAGAUGGGCCCGCGGCGCAUUAGCUAGUUGGUGAGGUAACGGCUCACCAAGGCGACGAUGCGUAGCCGACCUGAGAGGGUGAUCGGCCACAUUGGGACUGAGACACGGCCCAAACUCCUACGGGAGGCAGCAGUGGGGAAUAUUGCACAAUGGGGGAAACCCUGAUGCAGCAACGCCGCGUGAAUGAUGAAGGUUUUCGGAUCGUAAAGUUCUGUCUUCAGGGACGAUAAUGACGGUACCUGAGGAGGAAGCCACGGCUAACUACGUGCCAGCAGCCGCGGUAAUACGUAGGUGGCAAGCGUUGUCCGGAUUUACUGGGCGUAAAGGGAGCGUAGGCGGAUUUUUAAGUGAGAUGUGAAAUACUCAGGCUCAACCUGGGGGCUGCAUUUCAAACUGGAAGUCUAGAGUGCAGGAGAGGAGAGUGGAAUUCCUAGUGUAGCGGUGAAAUGCGUAGAUAUUAGGAGGAACACCAGUAGCGAAGGCGGCUUUCUGGACUGUAACUGACACUGAGGCACGAAAGCGUGGGGAGCAAACAGGAUUAGAUACCCUGGUAGUCC
This 753-nucleotide ribosomal RNA is filed under the name uncultured bacterium. RNAcentral's name for it is "bacterial SSU rRNA". It matches the Rfam family "Bacterial small subunit ribosomal RNA", at positions 28 to 796 of the family's 1533-position model. The record is from RNAcentral.